GUUUGAUUAUCUCUACUGCUUUUCUUAGUUGGGAGAGUUUUGUUACACUAUGGAAUAUUGCUGCUAAUGAACAUUUUAGAUGAAAAAUGCUAAAUAAGAAAAGGCCCUACCCUCUAUUAAGAAAUCCUUUAAAACCUAGGCUCAUAUUUUGAUAAUUAAACCUUAGAUCAAAUCUGCAUAAUAGUGACAAUUUCUUCAUUACAUUUUCCAAUGACUCUAUGAAUUAUCUGUUGAUACCCAGGGGUUGGAUUAUUCUAGUUAAUUAUUGUGAUUUUAUGCUAACAUAACACCUUCUAUUCCAGGGAAUUCCUUAAGCAUAGUGAAAACUUCAUCCCCAUCAGUACUUAUGAAUCUCUUUAUUUGUUAAGUGGGAAGGCAGCCUGAGAUAAAUUACCCUGGAUAAUUUUAAUCAAGAACUUAAUUUUAAUGAUCACCUGCUGCACAAAUAAAAUAAGAGAAGCAAUGACACCAUCAUUAUCAAGGAUCUGUUUCUGGGGGGACCCAAACUAAAGCAACACCUGAGAAGAGCCUGUCACUUCUAAAAUAGAAGAGCAUGUGCAGGGCCUGGAAGCAGAGAGGAGCUGCUAUUCACUGGGAAGGUAAGCUCUCCAGUUGGUGUGUGCAUGAAGGUUAAAACUGCUUUUGGAUUAUUUUCC
RNAcentral lists this long non-coding RNA (656 nucleotides) under Bos indicus x Bos taurus (hybrid cattle). RNAcentral describes it as "lncRNA (ENSBIXG00005007458.1)". Lineage: Eukaryota; Metazoa; Chordata; Mammalia; Artiodactyla; Bovidae. The record is from RNAcentral.